This 73-nucleotide transfer RNA is filed under the name Ailuropoda melanoleuca (giant panda). It matches the Rfam family "tRNA". From Rfam's summary of the family: Transfer RNA (tRNA) molecules are approximately 80 nucleotides in length. Their secondary structure includes four short double-helical elements and three loops (D, anti-codon, and T loops). Further hydrogen bonds mediate the characteristic L-shaped molecular structure. tRNAs have two regions of fundamental functional importance: the anti-codon, which is responsible for specific mRNA codon recognition, and the 3' end, to which the tRNAs corresponding amino acid is attached (by aminoacyl-tRNA synthetases). tRNAs cope with the degeneracy of the genetic code in two manners: having more than one tRNA (with a specific anti-codon) for a particular amino acid; and 'wobble' base-pairing, i.e. permitting non-standard base-pairing at the 3rd anti-codon position. The record is from Rfam by way of RNAcentral. Lineage: Eukaryota; Metazoa; Chordata; Mammalia; Carnivora; Ursidae.
GCCUGGCUGGCUCAGUCGGUAAAGCAUGAGAUUCUUGAUCUCAGGGUCAUGAGUUUGAGCCCCACGUUGGGCA